Molecule: long non-coding RNA, 316 nt
Organism: Chroicocephalus ridibundus (black-headed gull)
Lineage: Eukaryota; Metazoa; Chordata; Aves; Charadriiformes; Laridae
Exons: 3
Source: RefSeq, a predicted model, not a curated record
AAACAUAUUACACCUAGCUUCGGAUGCCAAACUUUUCCAAUUACGAGAGAACAGUAAUUCACCAAGGAUGAGGUAAACGAAAUGGGAAUCAGGCCCUUAACGUUACGUUAAACUGCUUUGAAUUACCUGUGGAAGAAAAAUCUCCAGUCGGGUAAAAUGGCAGAUAAGGCUCUGACAGGAACUGACAGUGCAGAAACCAUGGAGUCCCUGGACAGACCUGCAACUGCAAAGCCCGGAUUAAUUGACUCUGUGGCAUUUGGACAUGACCAUUUCAGCACCUUCUACAGAGUAAAUUGAGCAGAAGGGUCAAAUUCAA